UACAGGGGGUGCAAACGUUGCUCGGAAUCAUUGGGCGUAAAGCGCACGUAGGCGGUUCGUUAUGUCGGAUGUGAAAGCCCUUGGCUUAACCGAGGAAGUGCACCCGAAACUGGCGAGCUUGAGUACGAAAGAGGAUCGCGGAAUUCCCGGUGUAGAGGUGAAAUUCGUAGAUAUCGGGAGGAACACCGGUGGCGAAGGCGGCGAUCUGGGUCGAUACUGACGCUGAGGUGCGAAAGCGUGGGGAGCAAACAGG
This 253-nucleotide ribosomal RNA is filed under the name uncultured bacterium. RNAcentral's name for it is "partial 16S ribosomal RNA". It matches the Rfam family "Bacterial small subunit ribosomal RNA", at positions 524 to 776 of the family's 1533-position model. The record is from RNAcentral.